This is a microRNA precursor of Nicotiana attenuata, 106 nucleotides long. It matches the Rfam family "MIR6152 microRNA precursor family". The record is from Rfam. NCBI's taxonomy places the organism in Eukaryota, Viridiplantae, Streptophyta, Magnoliopsida, Solanales, Solanaceae.
UGGAUAGAUUAUUGUAUUCUAAUUUAUUCGACUGUAUUCACGGCGUGAAACAUGGGAUUACACUAUUUUUAAACGGAAAGUGAAUCAAUUAACAUAAUAGACUCCU